CCUACGGGAGACAGCAGUGAGGAAUAUUGGUCAAUGGGCGCGAGCCUGAACCAGCCAAGUCGCGUGAGUGAAGACGGCCCUACGGGUUGUAAACCUCUUUUGCCGGGGAGCAACGGGCGCCACGUGUUGCGCCACUGAGAGUACCCGGAGUAAAAGCAUGGGCUAACUCCGGGCCAGCAGCCGCGGUAGUACGGAGGAUGCGAGCGUUAUCCGGAGUAAUUGGGUUUAAAGGGUGCGUGGGCGGAGCGUUAGGUCAGUGGUAAAAUUGAGGGGCUAAACCCCUUCCCGCCAUGGAAACUGGCGCUCUUGAGUGGAAGAGAAGUACGCGGAAUGCGUGGUGUAGCGGUGAAAUGCAUAGA
This 359-nucleotide ribosomal RNA is filed under the name uncultured bacterium. RNAcentral describes it as "partial 16S ribosomal RNA". It matches the Rfam family "Bacterial small subunit ribosomal RNA", at positions 338 to 694 of the family's 1533-position model. The record is from RNAcentral.